ACUCAGGUGUUGUUGGGUAGGGGAGCGUUCUGUAAGCCUGCGAAGGUGGCCUGUGAGGGUUGCUGGAGGUAUCAGAAGUGCGAAUGCUGACAUAAGUAACGAUAAAGCGGGUGAAAAGCCCGCUCGCCGGAAGACCAAGGGUUCCUGUCCAACGUUAAUCGGGGCAGGGUGAGUCGACCCCUAAGGCGAGGCCGAAAGGCGUAGUCGAUGGGAAACGGGUUAAUAUUCCCGUACUUGGUGUUACUGCGAAGGGGGGACGGAGAAGGCUAUGUUGGCCGGGCGACGGUUGUCCCGGUUUAAGCGUGUAGGUGUGUGUUCCAGGUAAAUCCGGUUCACUUUAACACUGAGGCGUGACGACGAGGCACUACGGUGCUGAAGCAACAAAUGCCCUGCUUCCAGGAAAAGCCUCUAAGCAUCAGGUAACAUCAAAUCGUACCCCAAACCGACACAGGUGGUCAGGUAGAGAAUACCAAGGCGCUUGAGAGAACUCGGGUGAAGGAACUAGGCAAAAUGGUGCCGUAACUUCGGGAGAAGGCACGCUGACACGUAGGUGAAGUGAUUUACUCAUGGAGCUGAAGUCAGUCGAAGAUACCAGCUGGCUGCAACUGUUUAUUAAAAACACAGCACUGUGCAAACACGAAAGUGGACGUAUACGGUGUGACGCCUGCCCGGUGCCGGAAGGUUAAUUGAUGGGGUCAGCGCAAGCGAAGCUCCUGAUCGAAGCCCCGGUAAACGGCGGCCGUAACUAUAACGGUCCUAAGGUAGCGAAAUUCCUUGUCGGGUAAGUUCCGACCUGCACGAAUGGCGUAAUGAUGGCCAGGCUGUCUCCACCCGAGACUCAGUGAAAUUGAACUCGCUGUGAAGAUGCAGUGUACCCGCGGCAAGACGGAAAGACCCCGUGAACCUUUACUAUAGCUUGACACUGAACAUUGAGCCUUGAUGUGUAGGAUAGGUGGGAGGCUUUGAAGUGUGGACGCCAGUCUGCAUGGAGCCGACCUUGAAAUACCACCCUUUAAUGUUUGAUGUUCUAACGUGGACCCGUGAUCCGGGUUGCGGACAGUGUCUGGUGGGUAGUUUGACUGGGGCGGUCUCCUCCUAAAGAGUAACGGAGGAGCACGAAGGUUGGCUAAUCCUGGUCGGACAUCAGGAGGUUAGUGCAAUGGCAUAAGCCAGCUUGACUGCGAGCGUGACGGCGCGAGCAGGUGCGAAAGCAGGUCAUAGUGAUCCGGUGGUUCUGAAUGGAAGGGCCAUCGCUCAACGGAUAAAAGGUACUCCGGGGAUAACAGGCUGAUACCGCCCAAGAGUUCAUAUCGACGGCGGUGUUUGGCACCUCGAUGUCGGCUCAUCACAUCCUGGGGCUGAAGUAGGUCCCAAGGGUAUGGCUGUUCGCCAUUUAAAGUGGUACGCGAGCUGGGUUUAGAACGUCGUGAGACAGUUCGGUCCCUAUCUGCCGUGGGCGCUGGAGAACUGAGGGGGGCUGCUCCUAGUACGAGAGGACCGGAGUGGACGCAUCACUGGUGUUCGGGUUGUCAUGCCAAUGGCACUGCCCGGUAGCUAAAUGCGGAAGAGAUAAGUGCUGAAAGCAUCUAAGCACGAAACUUGCCCCGA
This 1608-nucleotide ribosomal RNA is filed under the name Salmonella enterica. Its description in RNAcentral is "partial 23S ribosomal RNA". It matches the Rfam family "Bacterial large subunit ribosomal RNA", at positions 1211 to 2802 of the family's 2925-position model. The record is from RNAcentral. Lineage: Bacteria; Pseudomonadati; Pseudomonadota; Gammaproteobacteria; Enterobacterales; Enterobacteriaceae.